This 441-nucleotide ribosomal RNA is filed under the name uncultured bacterium. RNAcentral describes it as "partial 16S ribosomal RNA". It matches the Rfam family "Bacterial small subunit ribosomal RNA", at positions 338 to 795 of the family's 1533-position model. The record is from RNAcentral.
CCUACGGGAUGCUGCAGUAGGGAAUUUUGCGCAAUGGGCGAAAGCCUGACGCAGCAACGCCGCGUGAUUGAUUAAGCCCUUCGGGGUGUAAAGAUCUGUCAGUGGGGACGAAACUUGACGGUACCCACAGAGGAAGCACCGGCUAACUCCGUGCCAGGAGCCGCGGUAAUACGGAGGGUGCAAGCGUUGUCCGGAAUCAUUGGGCGUAAAUAGUUCGUAGGUGGUGUAUUAAGUCUGGUGUUAAAUGCAGAAGCUCAACUUCUGGUCGGCACUGGAUACUGGUAGGCUUGAAUGCGAUAGAGGUAAGGGGAAGUCCUGGUGUAGCAGUGAAAUGCGUAGAUAUCAGGAGGAACAUCGGUUGCGUAAGCGCUUUGCUGGGCCGUAAUUGACACUGAGGAACGAAAGCCGGGGUAGCAAAUGGGAUUAGAUACCCUGGUAGUC